AUACAGAGGGUGCGAGCGUUAAUCGGAAUUACUGGGCGUAAAGCGCGCGUAGGCGGUCUAUUAAGUCAGAUGUGAAAUCCCAGGGCUCAACCUUGGAACUGCAUCUGAUACUGGUAGACUAGAGUUCUGGAGAGGGAAGUAGAAUUUCAGGUGUAGCGGUGAAAUGCAUAGAGAUUUGAAGGAAUACCAGUGGCGAAGGCGACUUCCUGGCCAAAAACUGACGCUGAGGUGCGAAAGCGUGGGUAGCAAACGGGAUUAGAAACCCUAGUAGUCC
This 274-nucleotide ribosomal RNA is filed under the name uncultured bacterium. RNAcentral's name for it is "partial 16S ribosomal RNA". It matches the Rfam family "Bacterial small subunit ribosomal RNA", at positions 523 to 796 of the family's 1533-position model. The record is from RNAcentral.